RNAcentral lists this unclassified non-coding RNA (329 nucleotides) under soil metagenome. Its description in RNAcentral is "partial contains 5.8S ribosomal RNA, internal transcribed spacer 2, and large subunit ribosomal RNA". The stretch from base 1 to 120 matches the Rfam family "5.8S ribosomal RNA", at positions 35 to 154 of the family's 154-position model. The record is from RNAcentral.
GAUGAAGAACGUAGCGAAAUGUGAUAAGUAAUGUGAAUUGCAGAAUUCAGUGAAUCAUCGAAUCUUUGAACGCACAUUGCGCCCCCUGGUAUUCCGGGGGGCAUGCCUGUCCGAGCGUCAUUACAACCCUCAAGCUCAGCUUGGUGUUGGGCCCCGCCGCCCCGGCGGGCCCUAAAGUCAGUGGCGGUGCCGUCCGGCUCCGAGCGUAGUAAUUCUUCUCGCUCUGGAGGUCCGGUCGUGUGCUCGCCAGCAACCCCCAAUUUUUUUCAGGUUGACCUCGGAUCAGGGAGGGAUACCCGCUGAACUUAAGCAUAUCAAUAAGCGGAGGA